Molecule: ribosomal RNA, 251 nt
Filed under: uncultured bacterium
Lineage: Bacteria
Description: partial 16S ribosomal RNA
Rfam family: Bacterial small subunit ribosomal RNA
Source: RNAcentral
UACAGAGGUCUCAAGCGUUGUUCGGAUUCAUUGGGCGUAAAGGGUGCGUAGGCGGCGCGGUAAGUCGGGUGUGAAAUCUCGGAGCUUAACUGGGAGGGCCGUGCGAAACUGCCGGGCUUGAGGUCGGAAGGGGAAAGUGGAAUUCCGGGUGUAGUGGUGGAAUACGUAGAUAUCCGGAGGAACACCAGCGGCGAAGGCGCUUUCUGGUCCGAUACUGACGCUGAGGUGCGAAAGCGUGGGGAGCGAUCCGG